GAUGAACGCUGGCGGCGUGCCUAAUACAUGCAAGUCGAGCGAACAGACGAUGAGCUUGCUCCUCUGAUGUUAGCGGCGGACGGGUGAGUAACACGUGGAUAACCUACCUAUAAGACUGGGAUAACUUCGGGAAACCGGAGCUAAUACCGGAUAAGAUGCUGAACCGCAUGGUUCAACAGUGAAAGACGGUCUUGCUGUCACUUAUAGAUGGAUCCGCGCCGCAUUAGCUAGUUGGUAAGGUAACGGCUUACCAAGGCAACGAUGCGUAGCCGACCUGAGAGGGUGGUCGCCCACACUGGAACUGGGCCGCGGUCCAGACUCCUGCGGUAGGCCGCAGUAGGGAAUCUGACGCAACGGGCGGAAACAUGACGGAGCGACGCCGAGUGAGUUAAGGAGGUCUCCGGUUCGUAAUACUGUGUUAUGAGUGAAGAACCGAUGUGGCAGUAGCUGUGCACGUAUUGACGGUACCUAGUCAGGAAGCACCGGCUAACUACGUG
RNAcentral lists this ribosomal RNA (497 nucleotides) under uncultured bacterium. RNAcentral describes it as "partial 16S ribosomal RNA". It matches the Rfam family "Bacterial small subunit ribosomal RNA", at positions 28 to 507 of the family's 1533-position model. The record is from RNAcentral.